UAUGAAACGACAUUAAUUGUUUUUUUUUUAUUUCAAAUUAAUAAUAAUUUUUUUUCCAUUUACAGUUUUUUACUUUCAUCCUCAAAGACCAACCAAAAAAACCAAAAAUGGGCGCAGAAAAAGUAUCCAUGAACAUUGUCGUCGUCGGACAAGUGCAAUCUGCCAAGGUCGUCAAGACCGUCGCCAAAGCCACACCAGCGACCAGCCAACUGAUGAACUGUUAAUGCAUUCAGUCCAUCUAUUGCAAAACUCAAAAAUGCCAUAACCCAAACAGUACCAAAAAUAAUAUGUAAAUAUAUGUAAUUAAUUUCAGUAUUGAAACCGCAAAAUAAAUCAGCCUUUUCCGAUAAACGUAA
Metopolophium dirhodum (rose-grain aphid) is the source of this 356-nucleotide long non-coding RNA. RefSeq lists it as uncharacterized. The record is from RefSeq and is a predicted model, not a curated record. The transcript is spliced from 2 exons. Lineage: Eukaryota; Metazoa; Arthropoda; Insecta; Hemiptera; Aphididae.